Molecule: ribosomal RNA, 501 nt
Filed under: Dilar duelli
Lineage: Eukaryota; Metazoa; Arthropoda; Insecta; Neuroptera; Dilaridae
Description: partial 16S ribosomal RNA
Rfam family: Bacterial large subunit ribosomal RNA
Source: RNAcentral
UUUGGGAAAAAAUCUAAAGUCUAACCUGCCCACUGAAUUUUGAAGGGCCGCAGUAUUUUGACUGUGCAAAGGUAGCAUAAUCAUUUGUCUCUUAAUUGGAGACUGGAAUGAAUGGUUGGAUGAAAUUAAAACUGUCUCAUUUUAUUAAGUAUAAUAACUUAUUUUUUUAGUUAAAAAACUAGAAUUUUUAAAAAAGACGAGAAGACCCUAUAGAGUUUUAUAUAUUUUAAAAUAAGUUAUUUUGUAAUUAAUUAAAUUUAUUUUUUAAUAUAUUUGGUUGGGGUGGUUGGAAAAUUAGAGUAACUUUUCUUUAAUUAAACAUUAAUUUAUGAUUUAAUGAUCCAUUGUUUUUGAUUAUAAGAUUAAAUUACCUUAGGGAUAACAGCACAAUUUUUUUACAGAGUUCUUAUUUAUAAGAGAGAUUGUGACCUCGAUGUUGAAUUAAAAUUAACUUAAGGUGCAGCAGCUUUAGGGUUAAGUCUGUUCGACUUUUAAAAUUUU